RNAcentral lists this ribosomal RNA (397 nucleotides) under uncultured bacterium. RNAcentral describes it as "bacterial SSU rRNA". It matches the Rfam family "Bacterial small subunit ribosomal RNA", at positions 28 to 428 of the family's 1533-position model. The record is from RNAcentral.
GACGAACGCUGGCGGCGUGCUUAACACAUGCAAGUCGAGCGGUAAGGCCCUUUCGGGGGUACACGAGCGGCGAACGGGUGAGUAACACGUGGGUGACCUGCCCUCAGCUCUGGGAUAAGCCUGGGAAACUGGGUCUAAUACUGGAUAUGACUCCACGGUGCAUGUCGUGGGGUGGAAAGCCUUGUGCGGCUGAGGAUGGGCCCGCGGCCUAUCAGCUUGUCGGUGGGGUGANGGCCUACCAAGGCGACGACGGGUAGCCGGCCUGAGAGGGCGACCGGCCACACUGGGACUGAGACACGGCCCAGACUCCUACGGGAGGCAGCAGUGGGGAAUCUUGCGCAAUGGGCGAAAGCCUGACGCAGCGACGCCGCGUGAGGGAUGACGGCCUCGGUUGUAA